AGAACAUGCGGACUGUCGGUCUACCGAGCAAUAUCACCCACUCAGUGGGAGAUCUUUCCUUUGUCGU
RNAcentral lists this microRNA precursor (67 nucleotides) under Bombyx mori (domestic silkworm). RNAcentral's name for it is "mir-2774 microRNA precursor family". It matches the Rfam family "mir-2774 microRNA precursor family". Lineage: Eukaryota; Metazoa; Arthropoda; Insecta; Lepidoptera; Bombycidae. The record is from Rfam by way of RNAcentral.